Molecule: small nuclear RNA, 103 nt
Organism: Saimiri boliviensis boliviensis (Bolivian squirrel monkey)
Lineage: Eukaryota; Metazoa; Chordata; Mammalia; Primates; Cebidae
Source: RefSeq, a predicted model, not a curated record
GUGUUCACUUCAGCAGCACAUAUGGUAAAGUUGGAAUGAUACAGAGAAGAUGAGCAUACCCCUGUACAAGGACAGGCAAAUUCAUGAAGUGUUUCAUUUUUUU